RNAcentral lists this unclassified non-coding RNA (236 nucleotides) under plant metagenome. Its description in RNAcentral is "partial contains small subunit ribosomal RNA, internal transcribed spacer 1, and 5.8S ribosomal RNA". The record is from RNAcentral.
UCUCCGUUGGUGAACCAGCGGAGGGAUCAUUACCGAGUUUACAACUCCAAACCCCAUGUGAACCCUACCAAUCGUCGCUUCGGCGGGAUGCCCCGGGCGCGGGCCGCAAGGCCUCAGCCCCGGAACCAGGCGCCCGCCGGAGGCCCAAACCAAACUCUUGUUUUUGUAGAAUCUUCUGAGUGGCCUUUUAGGCAAAAAAUGAAUCAAAACUUUCAACAACGGAUCUCUUGGUUCUG